CUUGCACUCAGCGGUCAAAGUGCGAGUGGCGAACGGGUGAGUAACACGUGGGCAAUCUGCCCAAAAGUGGGGGAUAACACUUGGAAACAGGUGCUAAUACCGCAUCAACCGGCUGACCGCAUGGUCGGCCGGGCAAAGACGGCGUCAGCUGUCGCUUUUGGAUGAGCCCGCGGCGUAUUAACUAGUUGGUAAGGUAACGGCUUACCAAGGUGAUGAUACGUAGCCGAACUGAGAGGUUGAUCGGCCACAUUGGGACUGAGACACGGCCCAAACUCCUACGGGAGGCAGCAGUAGGGAAUCUUCCACAAUGGACGCAAGUCUGAUGGAGCAACGCCGCGUGUAUGAAGAAGGUCUUCGGAUCGUAAAAUACUGUUGUCAGAGAAGAACACGUGAUAGAGUAACUGCUAUGACGCUGACGGUAUCUGACCAGCAAGUCACGGCUAACUACGUGCCAGCAGCCGCGGUAAUACGUAGGUGGCAAGCGUUGUCCGGAUUUAUUGGGCGUAAAGGGAACGCAGGCGGUCUUUUAAGUCUGAUGUGAAAGCCUUCGGCUUAACCGGAGAAGUGCAUUGGAAACUGGAAGACUUGAGUGCAGAAGAGGAGAGUGGAACUCCAUGUGUAGCGGUGAAAUGCGUAGAUAUAUGGAAGAACACCAGUGGCGAAAGCGGCUCUCUGGUCUGUAACUGACGCUGAGGUUCGAAAGCGUGGGGAGCGAACAGGAUUAGAUACCCUGGUAGUCCACGCUGUAAACGAUGAAUGCUAGGUGUUG
This 769-nucleotide ribosomal RNA is filed under the name Ligilactobacillus acidipiscis. RNAcentral describes it as "bacterial SSU rRNA". It matches the Rfam family "Bacterial small subunit ribosomal RNA", at positions 67 to 825 of the family's 1533-position model. Lineage: Bacteria; Bacillati; Bacillota; Bacilli; Lactobacillales; Lactobacillaceae. The record is from RNAcentral.